This 131-nucleotide ribosomal RNA is filed under the name Desulfobacteraceae bacterium. Its description in RNAcentral is "partial 16S ribosomal RNA". It matches the Rfam family "Bacterial small subunit ribosomal RNA", at positions 1 to 127 of the family's 1533-position model. Lineage: Bacteria; Pseudomonadati; Thermodesulfobacteriota; Desulfobacteria; Desulfobacterales; Desulfobacteraceae. The record is from RNAcentral.
UUUAAUUGGAGAGUUUGAUCCUGGCUCAGAAUGAACGCUGGCGGCGUGCUUAACACAUGCAAGUCGAACGAGAAACCCCGGCUUGCCGGGGGAGUAAAGUGGCGCACGGGUGAGUAACGCGUGGGUAAUCU